UGACAUCAUUCCCUUUCAGUGUUUCCUAUGUUUUUUUUUUUUUUUUAAAGACAGGGUCUCGCCAUAUGGCCCAGGCUGGUCUUGAACUCCUGGGCUCAAGUGAUCCUCCUGUGUCCCGAAUUGGUGGGUUCCUGGUCUCACUGACUUCAAGAAUGAAACUGCGGACCCUCGCGGUGAGUGUUACAGCUCUUAAGGUGGCGCGUCUGGAGUUUGUUCCUUCUGAUGUUCGGAUGUGUUCGGAGUUUUUUCCUUCUGGUGGGUUCGUGGUGUCGCUGGCUCAGAAGUGAAGCUGCAGACCUUGGUGGUGAGUGUUACAGCUCUUAAGGCGGCGCAUCUGGAGUUGUUUGUUCCUCCCAGUGGGCUCGUGGUCUCACUGGCUUCAGGAGUGAAGCUACAGACCUUCGCGGUGAGUAUCACAGCUCAUAAAAGCAGUGUGGACCCAAAGAAUGACCAGUAGCAAGAUUUAUUGCAAAGAGCAAAAGAACAAAGCCGCCACGUCGUGGAAAGGGACCCCAGCCAGCUGCCACUGCUAGUUCGGGCAGCCUGCUUUUAUUCUCUUAUCUGGCUGAGGUCAGGAGUUCGAGACCGGUCUGGCCAACAUGGCGAAACCCCGUGUCUACUAAAAAUACAAAAAUUCGCCGGGCAUGGUGGGUGAGCACCUGUAGUCCCAGCUGCUUGGGAGGCUGAGGCAGGAGAAUUGCUUGAACCCGGGAGUCAGAGGUUGCCGUGAGCUGAGAUCACGCCAUUGUACUCCAGCCUGGGUGACAGAGCAAGACUUGGUCUCAAAAAAAAAAAAAAAAAAGAAAAGAAAAAAAGAAAAGAAAACAAACAAAAAAAAGAAAUCCGAGAGUCAUCCUUCACUCCUCCCUCUUCCUUACUCCCAUAGCAGACCUCUUGGAAUAUCCUGGAAGUUCUAAGCCUGUCACUUCUCAGUCCCCACAGAAGUCACACUCUCCCAAGCCACCAUCAUCUCUGGCUUGAAUUACUGCUGCAGGAGCCUUCCAAGUCUGGCUCCUACAAUUAAUUCAUGAUCCACCCAACAAGCACAGAACGUCAAGUCACUCCUCUCUUAAAAUCCCCCAUAGCUUCCCGUUUUCCCUUAGGAAGAGUCUAAAACCCUUAACUUUUUCUAGAAGGUUCCUCCAGGAGGUCUCUACUUGCUGUCUCAGCCUCGGACUCUCUGUGCUUCUUCAGCGUCCUGUGCUGGCACUCAAUUACUUUAGGGGUUUCAUGACACGGUUCUCUCCCUCCCACUCCUUUUCAUCCUUAGGGUCUUAGCUUGCUCCCCGAGGCCUCCCCACCCAGUAGUUCUCAGUCCCCGUGUGCCCACAGCGCCCUCUACUGCCCCUUCCCAAACACGCAGCAUGGGUGUGUUUGCCCAGCGCCUCUCUGCACACCCAGACUUCAAGCUGCAAGAUGGCAAGCACUGCCUCCUCCACUGCUAAGUACCUGGCAAAGCAAUUGUAGUCAGUAAAUUUUUUUUCCCAUUUUUUUUAAUUUUUUUUUUUUUUUUUUAGGUAAAGAAAGGCAUUUAUUAGGUCUGGGCAUGGUGGCUCAUACCUGUAAUCCCAGCACUUUGGGAGGCCAAGGCCAGUGGAUCACUUGAGGUCAGGUGUUCAAGACCAGCCUGGCCAACAUGGUGAAACCCCAUCUCCACUAAAAAUACAAAAAUUAGCUAGGGGUGGUGGUGCAUGGCUGUAAUCCUAGCUUCUCUGGAGGCUGAGGAGGGAGAAUCGCGUGAACCCAGGAGGCAGAGGCUGUAGUGAGCCGAGAUCGCGCCACUGCAUUCCAGCCUGGGCGAUGGAGGGAGACU
Molecule: long non-coding RNA, 1813 nt
Filed under: Homo sapiens (human)
Lineage: Eukaryota; Metazoa; Chordata; Mammalia; Primates; Hominidae
Source: RNAcentral